GUGGAGAUAGAUACGCAAAUGUGAUAUUUCUAAUCACAUGUCGCCACGAAGUCUCCGUAAAGUAACAGCUUUCUGAUGACUGUAACUUGUCAAGUUCUAAUUUACAGACAGAUACGGAGCUUACAGUA
Copidosoma floridanum is the source of this 128-nucleotide non-coding RNA. RefSeq annotates it as small Cajal body-specific RNA 8. The record is from RefSeq and is a predicted model, not a curated record. Lineage: Eukaryota; Metazoa; Arthropoda; Insecta; Hymenoptera; Encyrtidae.